RNAcentral lists this ribosomal RNA (648 nucleotides) under Sarcocystis tenella. RNAcentral describes it as "SSU rRNA". It matches the Rfam family "Eukaryotic small subunit ribosomal RNA", at positions 455 to 1077 of the family's 1831-position model. Lineage: Eukaryota; Apicomplexa; Conoidasida; Eucoccidiorida; Sarcocystidae. The record is from RNAcentral.
CUCAGGGAGGUAGUGACAAGAAAUAACAACACUGGAAAUUUUAUUUCUAGUGAUUGGAAUGAUGGGAAUUUAAACCCCUUUCAGAGUAACAAUUGGAGGGCAAGUCUGGUGCCAGCAGCCGCGGUAAUUCCAGCUCCAAUAGCGUAUAUUAAAGUUGUUGCAGUUAAAAAGCUCGUAGUUGGAUGUCUGCUGGAAGCAAUCAGUCCGCCCUAUUUGUAGGGUGUGCACUUGAUGAAUUCUGGCAUUUUUGUCCCAAUGAUGUAACGGAGCGGUGGUAUUCGGUGAAAGCCGAGUAUCCUGUUUUCCGAUUAUUGGGAUACUGUUACUUUGAGAAAAUUAGAGUGUUUGAAGCAGGCUAAUUGCCUUGAAUACUGCAGCAUGGAAUAACAAUAUAGGAUUUCGGUUCUAUUUUGUUGGUUUCUAGGACUGAAAUAAUGAUUAAUAGGGACAGUUGGGGGCAUUCGUAUUUAACUGUCAGAGGUGAAAUUCUUAGAUUUGUUAAAGACGAACUACUGCGAAAGCAUUUGCCAAAGAUGUUUUCAUUAAUCAAGAACGAAAGUUAGGGGCUCGAAGACGAUCAGAUACCGUCGUAGUCUUAACCAUAAACUAUGCCGACUAGAGAUAGGAAAUUGUCAUUUUACUUGACUU